GCAAACUUGGUCAUUUAGAGGAAGUAAAAGUCGUAACAAGGUUUCCGUAGGUGAACCUGCGGAAGGAUCAUUAUCGAGUUUUUGAAACGGGUUGUAGCUGGCCUUCCGAGGCAUGUGCACGCCCUGCUCAAUCCACUCUACACCUGUGCACUUACUGUGGGUUUCGAGAAAGGGGGGUCGUUCCCCCUCGAUUGAAGCCCACGUUUAUCCACAAACGCUUCAUAGUAUUCGAAUGUGUAUUGCGAUGUAACGCAUCUAUAUACAACUUUCAGCAACGGAUCUCUUGGCUCUCGCAUCGAUGAAGAACGCAGC
RNAcentral lists this unclassified non-coding RNA (312 nucleotides) under uncultured fungus. RNAcentral describes it as "partial contains small subunit ribosomal RNA, internal transcribed spacer 1, and 5.8S ribosomal RNA". The stretch from base 1 to 73 matches the Rfam family "Eukaryotic small subunit ribosomal RNA", at positions 1759 to 1831 of the family's 1831-position model. Lineage: Eukaryota; Fungi. The record is from RNAcentral.